CCCCCAAUAACAGGUGCACAUUCCUGGGCGCCUCGUCACUUCCCCUGCACUGGUUGUCUCAGCGGCUCAUCCAGCGAACUCACUGAGUAAGGCGGGCUGGCUAUGACCCCAGGGGCGCUUCUGGUGCUGCUGCUGGGGGCGGUGGGGGCGCCGCUUGCCCCGGGAGCCCUCGGCUCGGAGGCGGAGGGCCGACUCCGCGAGAAACUUUUCUCGGGCUAUGAUAGCUCCGUGCGCCCGGCGCGGGAGGUGGGAGACCGCGUCGGGGUCAGCAUUGGUCUCAGCCUGGCGCAACUCAUCAGCCUGAACGAGAAGGAUGAGGAGAUGAGCACGAAGGUCUACUUAGAUUUGGAGUGGACUGACUACAGGCUGAGCUGGGACCCUGCGGAGCACGAGGGCAUCGAUUCACUCCGCAUCACCGCUGGCUCCGUGUGGCUACCAGACGUGGUGCUCCUCAACAACAAUGACGGAAAUUUUGACGUGGCUCUGGACAUCAACGUCGUGGUGUCCUCCGACGGCUCCGUGCGCUGGCGGCCCCCGGGCAUCUAUCGAAGCAGCUGCAGCAUCCAGGUCACCUACUUCCCCUUUGACUGGCAGAACUGCACCAUGGUGUUCAGUUCCUACAGCUAUGACAGCUCGGAGGUCAGCCUGCAGACCGGCUUGGGUCCCGACGGGCAGGAGCGGCAGGAAGUGCACAUUCAUGAAGGGACCUUCAUUGAGAAUGGCCAAUGGGAGAUUAUCCACAAGCCUUCUCGGCUAAUCCAGCCUCCAGCAGAUCCUAGGGGAGGAGGGGAAGGACGGCGGGAAGAAGUCACCUUCUACCUCAUCAUUCGCCGGAAGCCUCUCUUCUACCUGGUCAACGUCAUUGCCCCAUGCAUCCUCAUCACCAUCCUGGCCAUCUUCGUCUUCUACCUGCCACCAGAUGCAGGAGAGAAGAUGGGGCUCUCGAUCUUUGCCCUGCUGACGCUCACUGUGUUCCUGCUGCUGCUGGCAGACAAAGUGCCUGAGACCUCCCUGUCUGUCCCCAUCAUCAUCAAGUACCUCAUGUUUACCAUGGUCCUCGUCACCUUCUCAGUCAUCCUUAGCGUCGUAGUCCUCAACCUGCACCAUCGCUCACCCCACACCCACCAAAUGCCCCUUUGGGUCCGUCAGGUGAGAAAAUCGACUCCAACCUGUGUGUUAACUCUCCAUCCUAGCAUUUGGCUUUCUGUCCAGGUAUCGCUCCUCCCUCCCACCAACGUCCACCUUCCCUUUCAAGGAUCUGAGGGAGAGUCUACAACUCCUGGUAGAGUGUCAAAGUGCCAAGGCCUUUGGGUGUUGAAAUGUUGCACCAUUAAUUUUAUCCUCCCAUUAUUAUCAUUGCAUAGAUCCCAGACUCUCUUCAUUAAUACUGCCCAUCGUGGGUCCCAGGGAAGCAUUCUCAGGGUUAGGUACUGUCAGGGUGGAAGCCCUCAGAAGUUCCUUUGCAGUCAGGAUGCCUCCCAACCCACUUCAGAACUCUUGGGCUGUGGUUGCAUUUCAUCCGUGGGCCGGAUGCUGGCAUGCACAGGAAUGGACAUGUGGAGUCGGGUGGUUGGCGGCUUCCCUUUGGGUCUGACAGCAUGAGAGCCCCUCCAACACGCCUUUUCUUCUGCUCUGCAGAUCUUCAUCCUUAAACUCCCUCUGUACCUGGGCCUGAAGAGGCCCAAACCUGAGAGAGACCAGAUGCCGGAACCACCUCCUGUAGCCCUCAGGGAUUCUCCAGGAAGUGGCUGGGGUCGGGGAACCGAUGAAUAUUUCAUCCGCAAGCCGCCAAAUGAUUUUCUCUUCCCCAAACCCAACAGGUAGUAUCCACUCCCCAUCGCUCACCUAGAAGGGAGAGGGAGAACUACAAUUCCCAGAAGAUCGUGCGGAGGCAGGCGGCCUAAGCUCCUGGAGGAUACUGUGGUUGAGCAUCAUGGGAGUUGUAGUAGUUCUUCUGUUGCCCACUUUGCGGAGAGGUGAUUCCAGCCUGAACUAUCUGCCCCGGACCCGCGGCGAUUUGUCGAUGGUCCAAACCGGGCUGUGGGCCUGCCUCCCGAGCUGCGGGAGGUCGUUUCCUCGAUCAGCUACAUCGCUCGACAGCUGCAGGAACAGGAGGACCACGACGCGCUGAAGGAGGAUUGGCAAUUUGUGGCCAUGGUAGUGGACCGCCUCUUCCUGUGGACCUUCAUCAUCUUCACGAGCGUCGGGACCCUCGUCAUCUUUCUGGAUGCCACAUACCACUUGCCACCUGCCGACCCCUUUCCCUGAGGCUGCGAGGGCCGAGACUCAGGUCCUUGGCCAGCUGAAUUGAGAGUCGGGCAGUACUCUCAAGUCCUAGCCCUUUUUGCAUCCUAACUCCUUCAGUAGAAAUCCAGGCUUCUCAUUAGUUCGUUUCUAGGGAGGAAGCCUAAGUGGGACUGGACAGAUGGGGGGCUGGGGCCCACUUGAAACGCACUAUCUGGUCGUUUACUCUUUAGCUUCUUGAAGAAGCUCCUUUGAAUAUUUACAUCUGGGUUCGCGGUGCGUGGAACAAAGAGCAAGAACUAGACUGUAAGCCUUCUGAGGGCAGGACCUAUGUCUCAUUCACUGUAAUAUCUCCAGCACCUAGCGCAAGUCUUAACCUAUAUAGUAGGUGCUUCACAUUGGCCGUAUGAAUAGGGACAUUUCUUUUCCUAUAAGGAGAUACACUAAGUAGUAGAGUUUAUGUUUGCAUGUUGGGACAAGUGGUCAUUUUUUUCUUUGUUUUUACGAUUCUGUAGUUUGUUGUAUUUUGUAAUAAGCAUUAUCUUUAGGAUGAAAAAAAGGUUGUUUUUUUAAAGGGUGCGUUUGUAAUGAGGAUACAAAAAGCUCACUUUAUAAGCUUCAGGUUCCAGCUUUGGUACUCAAACUUUGGACAAGUUACUAAACUGCCGUGCCUCAGUUUUCCCACCUAUAAAAUGAAGCUCAUAAUAGUAUCUGCCCCCUAGUCUGAGGAUCAUUUGAGAAGAUGGGAAACAAAAGCAUCAUGAAGGAGUUCCCUGGUGGCACAGUGGAUUAAGGAUCCAGCGUUGUCACUGCUGUGGCUCCAGUUGCUGGCCGUGGCGUGGGUUUGAUUCCUGGUCUGGGGAUUUCUGUAUGCUGUGGGCGCAGCUCCAACUUCCCAAAAGCAUCGCGCGGUAUGCAUCAGAGGUUGCAAACUGGUGUGUUUUGUUUGGUCCAUACUGUUGACCGGCAGAAUGUUCAAUUUGACUUGGUUUGCUGCUUUUAAAAUGUGGAUAUUUCUUGGAGAAAUUUGGAUUUCUGGCUUCUCUGGAAGAUUUUUCAGAACUACAGAAACACCAGCUCUGAUUCCCCUUUUGGCAGCCCCCUGCUAGAGCUGAUUAGCGGCUGCCCACUCUGGUCAAGGUAUUUGUACCAGAAUUCAUCAAAGCCCCCACCCUCACUAGCUUCACUCAUGUUACAUGCAGACCCCUGCGUAACACUAGACAAAAUACAGGGGAGGGGAGGGGAGGCAAGGAAAUGAAGCCCCUGGGAGGCUAGCAGUGGAACAAGAAAAGGCUGUUGGUGGGGGGAGUUCUCUGGUGGUCUAGUGGUUAGGAUUCGGCACUUUCACCGCUGCAGCCCAGAGAUCUCAGUUCUCUGGUUCUGGGGCACUGAGCCCCCACGUUAAGCUGCUACAGCCAAGAAAACCCAAAAGGGUAUUGGUGUCUCUUAUGGCCAUCACACAUUUUGUGCCUCAGUUUUCUUUCAAUUUGGCCCUGGUUGAAGGCAGAGCCUUUCAGGGACAUGAAGAUCUCGCAGUGCCCAGCAGGCUGUGUGAACUGGACUGGGUUAACGUUUCUGCCUGGAGGUCAGAGUAAAGUCAGCUGCAGCAAUUACUGUAAAGACCCUUGGGUCGACAAGCUCUCACACCUACUCAGUGGCUGGAAGUUGUCGUCCUAAGAGGGAGAACAGGGCUUCGACCCUCAGGGAUCCCUGUGGGACAAGGGUAGCGUGUCCCUGUCCAGCCAGCCCCACCAACCACGCCAAUAAUUGCACCUGGCAUCCCACUGCGGAGCACAGUUUGUUUGUCUUGUUGGUUUAUUGGCCUAGAGAGUUGGACACACACACAAAUGCGGAGAUAAAUAUUGGUCAGUUUCUCUAAAUCUGGGUCCUCACUACGUAUAGAGCUAGAGUCUGUAGAAUUCUAAAUCUUGCGUGCUGUGGCACAGAACCAGUGGCUUUCCCACUCCACCGUCACCCUUCUUCCCAGGGAACAUGGGGAAAGAGGGCACAAGCUGACAAGACUUGAUAGAUUUCAAAA
This is a non-coding RNA of Sus scrofa (pig), 4282 nucleotides long. The record is from RefSeq and is a predicted model, not a curated record. Lineage: Eukaryota; Metazoa; Chordata; Mammalia; Artiodactyla; Suidae.